UCUAAUACCGGAUAUCACAAUCUCUCGCAUGGGGGGUUGUUGAAAGUUCUGGCGGUGCAGGAUGAACCCGCGGCCUAUCAGCUUGUUGGUGGGGUAGUGGCCUACCAAGGCGACGACGGG
Molecule: ribosomal RNA, 120 nt
Filed under: Amycolatopsis mediterranei
Lineage: Bacteria; Bacillati; Actinomycetota; Actinomycetes; Pseudonocardiales; Pseudonocardiaceae
Description: partial 16S rRNA
Rfam family: Bacterial small subunit ribosomal RNA
Source: RNAcentral